GACGAACGCUGGCGGCGUGCCUAAUACAUGCAAGUAGAACGCUGAAGGAGGAGCUUGCUUCUCUGGAUGAGUUGCGAACGGGUGAGUAACGCGUAGGUAACCUGCCUGGUAGCGGGGGAUAACUAUUGGAAACGAUAGCUAAUACCGCAUAAUAGUAGAUGUCGCAUGACAUUUGCUUAAAAGGUGCAAUUGCAUCACUACCAGAUGGACCUGCGUUGUAUUAGCUAGUUGGUGAGGUAACGGCUCACCAAGGCAACGAUACAUAGCCGACCUGAGAGGGCGAUCGGCCACACUGGGACUGAGACACGGCCCAGACUCCUACGGGAGGCAGCAGUAGGGAAUCUUCGGCAAUGGACGGAAGUCUGACCGAGCAACGCCGCGUGAGUGAAGAAGGUUUUCGGAUCGUAAAGCUCUGUUGUAAGAGAAGAACGAGUGUGAGAGUGGAAAGUUCACACUGUGACGGUAUCUUACCAGAAAGGGACGGCUAACUACGUG
This 495-nucleotide ribosomal RNA is filed under the name uncultured bacterium. RNAcentral's name for it is "partial 16S ribosomal RNA". It matches the Rfam family "Bacterial small subunit ribosomal RNA", at positions 28 to 507 of the family's 1533-position model. The record is from RNAcentral.